GACGAACGCUGGCGGCGUGCCUAAUACAUGCAAGUCGAACGCUCUUUUCUUAUCGAACUUCGGUUCACCGAGAAAAGGGAGUGGCGAACGGGUGAGUAACACGUGGGUAACCUACCCAUAAGCGGGGGAUAACAGUUGGAAACGACUGCUAAUACCGCAUAAGCUAUAAAGGUCGCAUGACCUAAAUAGUAAAGGUGGCAUUUAAAGAUGCUAUCACUUAUGGAUGGGCCCNGUCUGAUUAGCUAGUUGGUGGGUAGUGGCCUACCAAGGCAACGAUCAGUAGCCGGCCUGAGAGGGUGACGGCCACACUGGGACUGAGACACGGCCCAGACUCCUACGGGAGCAGCAGUGGGAAAUAGUGCGCAAAGUCGGGGGAAACCCUGACGCAGCGACGCCGCGU
RNAcentral lists this ribosomal RNA (400 nucleotides) under uncultured bacterium. Its description in RNAcentral is "bacterial SSU rRNA". It matches the Rfam family "Bacterial small subunit ribosomal RNA", at positions 28 to 402 of the family's 1533-position model. The record is from RNAcentral.